UCAAGAAACUUCCACAAUGGGCGAAAGCCUGAUGGAGCGACGUCGCAUGAUGGACGAAGUGCUUCGGCACGUAAACAUCUUUUAUGUGGGAUGAAAUUAUUGACAGUACCACAUGAAUAAGGGGCUCCUAACUCUGUGCCAGCAGGAGCGGUAAUACAGAGGCCCCAAGCGUUAUCCGGAAUCACUGGGCGUAAAGGGUGUCGAGGCGGUUGUAUUAGUCGUUCGUAAAAUCUACGAGCUUAACUUGUAGGCGGCGAACGAAACGGUACGACUUGAGGUUUGGAGAGGUGCGUGGAACUCACGGUGUAGGGGUGAAAUCCGUUGAUAUCGUGGGGAACACCAAAGGCGAAGGCAGCGCACUGGCCAAAAUCUGACGCUCACACACGAAAGCUAGGGUAGCGAAGAGGAUUAGAUACCCUUGUAGUCCCUGAGCGGGCUGGCAAGGCGCAU
This 450-nucleotide ribosomal RNA is filed under the name uncultured bacterium. RNAcentral's name for it is "bacterial SSU rRNA". It matches the Rfam family "Bacterial small subunit ribosomal RNA", at positions 355 to 825 of the family's 1533-position model. The record is from RNAcentral.